This 459-nucleotide ribosomal RNA is filed under the name uncultured bacterium. Its description in RNAcentral is "partial 16S ribosomal RNA". It matches the Rfam family "Bacterial small subunit ribosomal RNA", at positions 338 to 795 of the family's 1533-position model. The record is from RNAcentral.
CCUACGGGAGGCAGCAGUGAGGAAUAUUGGUCAAUGGACGAGAGUCUGAACCAGCCAAGUAGCGUGAAGGAUGACUGCCCUAUGGGUUGUAAACUUCUUUUAUAAAGGAAUAAAACGAGGCACGUGUGCCUUUUUGCAUGUACUUUAUGAAUAAGGAUCGGCUAACUCCGUGCCAGCAGCCGCGGUAAUACGGAGGAUCCGAGCGUUGUCCGGAUUUGUUGGGUUUAAAGGGAGCGUAGAUGGGUUGUUAAGUCAGUUGUGAAAGUUUGCGGCUCAACCGUAAAAUUGCAAUUGAUACUGGCAGUCUUGAGUACAGUUGAGGUAGGCGGAAUUCGUGGUGUAGCGGUGAAAUGCUUAGAUAUCACGAAGAACCCCGAUUGCGAAGGCAGCUUACUAAACUGUGACUGACAUUGAUGCUCGAAAGUGUGGGUAUCAAACAGGAUUAGAACCCCUGUAGUC